GUUUAAUUCGAUGCAACGCGAAGAACCUUACCUACUCUUGACAUCCAGAGAAUUCGCUAGAGAUAGCUUAGUGCCUUCGGGAACUCUGAGACAGGUGCUGCAUGGCUGUCGUCAGCUCGUGUUGUGAAAUGUUGGGUUAAGUCCCGCAACGAGCGCAACCCUUAUCCUUUGUUGCCAGCGGUUCGGCCGGGAACUCAAAGGAGACUGCCAGUGAUAAACUGGAGGAAGGUGGGGAUGACGUCAAGUCAUCAUGGCCCUUACGAGUAGGGCUACACACGUGCUACAAUGGCGCAUACAAAGAGAAGCGACCUCGCGAGAGCAAGCGGACCUCAUAAAGUGCGUCGUAGUCCGGAUCGGAGUCUGCAACUCGACUCCGUGAAGUCGGAAUCGCUAGUAAUCGUAGAUCAGAAUGCUACGGUGAAUACGUUCCCGGGCCUUGUACACACCGCC
Molecule: ribosomal RNA, 450 nt
Filed under: uncultured Gammaproteobacteria bacterium
Lineage: Bacteria; Pseudomonadati; Pseudomonadota; Gammaproteobacteria
Description: bacterial SSU rRNA
Rfam family: Bacterial small subunit ribosomal RNA
Source: RNAcentral